RNAcentral lists this ribosomal RNA (459 nucleotides) under uncultured bacterium. RNAcentral's name for it is "partial 16S ribosomal RNA". It matches the Rfam family "Bacterial small subunit ribosomal RNA", at positions 28 to 523 of the family's 1533-position model. The record is from RNAcentral.
GAUGAACGCUGGCGGCGUGCCUAAAACAUGCAAGUCGAGCGGUAAGGCCUCUUCGGAGGUACACGAGCGGCGGACGGGUGAGUAACACGUGGGAAUCUACCCCAAACUGAGGGAUAAGCACCGGAAACGGUGUCUAAUACCGCAUAUGGUCUUCGGAUUAAAGCUUCGGCGGCUUGGGAAGAGCCCGCGUAAGAUUAGCUAGUUGGUGAGGUAAAGGCUUACCAAGGCGACGAUCUUUAGCUGGUUUGAGAGGAUGAUCAGCCACACUGGAACUGAGACACGGUCCAGACUCCUACGGGAGGCAGCAGUUAGGAAUUUUCCACAAUGGGCGCAAGCCUGAUGGAGCAACGCCGCGUGCAGGAUGAAGGUUUUCGGAUUGUAAACUGCUUUUAUGUGCGAAGAAUAUGACGGUAACACAUGAAUAAGGAUCGGCUAACUCCGUGCCAGCCGCCGCGGUAA